CAACUUUCAGCAACGGAUCUCUUGGCUCUCGCAUCGAUGAAGAACGCAGCGAAAUGCGAUAAGUAAUGUGAAUUUCAGAAUUCAGUGAAUCAUCGAAUCUUUGAACGCACCUUGCGCUCCUUGGUAUUCCGAGGAGCAUGCCUGUUUGAGUGUCAUUA
Molecule: ribosomal RNA, 158 nt
Filed under: uncultured Agaricaceae
Lineage: Eukaryota; Fungi; Basidiomycota; Agaricomycetes; Agaricales; Agaricaceae
Description: 5.8S ribosomal RNA
Rfam family: 5.8S ribosomal RNA
About the family: 5.8S ribosomal RNA (5.8S rRNA) is a component of the large subunit of the eukaryotic ribosome. It is transcribed by RNA polymerase I as part of the 45S precursor that also contains 18S and 28S rRNA.
Source: RNAcentral